Molecule: ribosomal RNA, 498 nt
Filed under: uncultured bacterium
Lineage: Bacteria
Description: partial 16S ribosomal RNA
Rfam family: Bacterial small subunit ribosomal RNA
Source: RNAcentral
GACGAACGCUGGCGGCGUGCCUAAUACAUGCAAGUCGAGCGGACGGAUGGGAGCUUGCUCCCAGACCGUCAGCGGCGGACGGGUGAGUAACACGUGGGCAACCUGCCUGUAAGACUGGGAUAACUCCGGGAAACCGGGGCUAAUACCGGAUAACUCUUUCCCUCACAUGAGGGAAAGCUGAAAGAUGGCAUCUCGCUAUCACUUACAGAUGGGCCCGCGGCGCAUUAGCUAGUUGGUGAGGUAACGGCUCACCAAGGCGACGAUGCGUAGCCGACCUGAGACGACGAACAGACAACGGGGGACGGAGACACGGCCCAGACUCCAACGGGAGGCAGCAGAGGGGAAGAGGGGACAAUGGGAGCAGGCCGCAGACAGCCAGACCGCGUGGGGAAAGAAGACCUCGUGGGGGUAAAGCCCGUUUGGCGAGAAAGAAAAGCAGCAAGGAAAGACCCCGUGGGUCGGAGGCAGCCCAAAGGAUAAGCACGGGCUAACGUGGUG